RNAcentral lists this ribosomal RNA (550 nucleotides) under Funneliformis mosseae. RNAcentral describes it as "SSU rRNA". It matches the Rfam family "Eukaryotic small subunit ribosomal RNA", at positions 548 to 1098 of the family's 1831-position model. Lineage: Eukaryota; Fungi; Glomeromycota; Glomeromycetes; Glomerales; Glomeraceae. The record is from RNAcentral.
UUGGAGGGCAAGUCUGGUGCCAGCAGCCGCGGUAAUUCCAGCUCCAAUAGCGUAUAUUAAAGUUGUUGCAGUUAAAAAGCUCGUAGUUGAAUUUCGGGAUCAAUAUUUCGGUCAUGCCGUUGGUAUGCACUGUUAUCAUUGAUUUCUCACCUUCUAAAGAACCGUAAUGCCAUUAAUUUGGUGUUACGGGGAAUUAGGACUGUUACCUUGAAAAAAUUAGAGUGUUUAAAGCAGGCUCACGCUUGAAUACAUUAGCAUGGAAUAAUGAAAUAGGACAUCCGAUUCUAUUUUGUUGGUUUCUAGGAUCGAUGUAAUGAUUAAUAGGGAUAGUUGGGGGCAUUAGUAUCCAAUUGUCAGAGGUGAAAUUCUUGGAUUUAUUGAAGACUAACUACUGCGAAAGCAUUUGCCAAGGAUGUUUUCAUUAAUCAAGAACGAAAGUUAGGGGGUCGAAGACGAUCAGAUACCGUCGUAGUCUUAACCAUAAACUAUGCCGACUAGGGAUCGGAUGAUGUUAAUUUUUUAAUGACUCAUUCGGCGCCUUACGGGAAAC